RNAcentral lists this ribosomal RNA (444 nucleotides) under uncultured bacterium. RNAcentral's name for it is "bacterial SSU rRNA". It matches the Rfam family "Bacterial small subunit ribosomal RNA", at positions 335 to 795 of the family's 1533-position model. The record is from RNAcentral.
ACUCCUACGGGAGGCAGCAGUGGGGAAUAUUGGACAAUGGGCGCAAGCCUGAUCCAGCAAUACCGCGUGAGUGAUGACGGCCUUCGGGUUGUAAAGCUCUUUUAGUGGAAAAGAUAAUGACGGUAUCCACAGAAAAAGCACCGGCUAACUUCGUGCCAGCAGCCGCGGUAAUACGAAGGGUGCUAGCGUUGUUCGGAAUUACUGGGCGUAAAGAGUACGUAGGCGGCUUAGUAAGUUGAUUGUGAAAGCCCCAGGCUCAACCUGGGAAUUGCAAUCAAAAACUGCUUCGCUAAGUUUGGUAGGGGGAUAAUGGAAUUCCUAGUGUAGGGGUGAAAUCCGUAGAUAUUAGAGGAAUAUCGGUGGCGAAGGCGAUUAUCUGGGCCAAUACUGACGCUGAGGUACGAAGGCGUGGGGAGCAAACAGGAUUAGAUACCCUGGUAGGUC